RNAcentral lists this transfer RNA (70 nucleotides) under Heterotermes tenuior. RNAcentral's name for it is "tRNA-Gln". Lineage: Eukaryota; Metazoa; Arthropoda; Insecta; Blattodea; Rhinotermitidae. The record is from RNAcentral.
UAUAUCUUGGUGUAUGGUGCACGGCGGCUUUUGAUGCUUGGUGGUGACAGUUUAAUUCUGUCGGAUGUAA